GAUGAACGCUGGCGGCGUGCCUAAUACAUGCAAGUCGAACGCUGGAAAUCUAGCUUGCUAGAUUGAAGGAGUGGCGAACGGGUGAGUAAUACAUAAGCAACCUACCCACGAAGACUGGGAUAAUCUCUGGAAACGGGGACUAAUACCGGAUAGGUAAUCGGAAGGCAUCUUCUGAUUAUUAAAGGUUAAAAACACUGGUGGAUGGGCUUAUGGCGCAUUAGUUAGUUGGUGAGGUAACGGCCCACCAAGACGAUGAUGCGUAGCCGGCCUGAGAGGGUGAACGGACACAUUGGGACUGAGAAACGGCCCAGACUCCUACGGGAGGCAGCAGUAGGGAAUUUUCGGCAAUGGGGGAAACCCUGACCGAGCAACGCCGCGUGAGUGAUGACGGCCUUCGGGUUGUAAAGCUCUGUUGUAAGGGAAGAACGGUAGAUAGAGAAUAUCUAAAUGACGGUACCUUACCAGAAAGCCACGGCUAACUACGUG
RNAcentral lists this ribosomal RNA (486 nucleotides) under uncultured bacterium. RNAcentral describes it as "partial 16S ribosomal RNA". It matches the Rfam family "Bacterial small subunit ribosomal RNA", at positions 28 to 507 of the family's 1533-position model. The record is from RNAcentral.